AUUUUAUUAAUUAUUUUAAAAACUAUAUCAUAACUAAACUACCACUCAUGGCAAUUUGAAAAAAUAUCUUUUUUUUUUUUUUUUUUUUUUUGGUCAUUUGCAUAUAAACCGAUUGUGUGGCGAGGAGGCAUUGUAACCUGUAAAUGCGGUAACUCAAUGACAAUAUCGUUCAAUUUUAGUCAAACACUUGGAGUCUAAUAUUAAAGACAUACACUUGUCAUUAUAUGUAGUUAAGAGGGGAAAAGAAAACGUUAGGUAUCUUCCUUUAGUUUCAUCUCUUUCACACAUGACUUUGCUUUUCCUCAUGUUUUAACAACUAAAUACUAAAGUUUGAAUAAAAAUAAUCUGACAAAUGAAGCAAUUAUUACAUAAUUAUGACAUAAACAUUGUAUCAUUAUGUUUCAAAAUGAUUGCUUCGAUUUAUUAUAGACUAAUGGUGGUUAUUGUUUUUUGUUCCACUAUAAUUUUUGUCUAUUAAUAUGUGUUUUCUUGCUUUGUAUAUAUCUAAGCUUAAUUAUAGUUUUCAAAUAUGAAAAAAAACUAUAAACAAUAGAUUGGUUCGAAUUGUUAUAAGUUUUUAUUUGAACUGAAAUAAAUAUAUUUUGCCUAUUCAGGAAAAAAAAAAUCGAAAAGGAAAGAAAGAAAGAGCAUUUUUUUAUUUUUCCAUUGACUUAUUUUAAAUAGCGUAUUAUUUGGUAACAAUUUGACGAAACAACAUUAGGUGCAACGACUGUCACUUUAAAAUGAUCGUGAGAUUCUGUUUACACUUACCGAAUGUGAUUGCUCAUGUGAUUUCUUUAGAUU
This 804-nucleotide long non-coding RNA is filed under the name Citrus x clementina. RNAcentral's name for it is "Citrus clementina (C. clementina) long non-coding RNA (CCLE_LNC001090)". Lineage: Eukaryota; Viridiplantae; Streptophyta; Magnoliopsida; Sapindales; Rutaceae. The record is from RNAcentral.